RNAcentral lists this ribosomal RNA (391 nucleotides) under uncultured bacterium. RNAcentral describes it as "bacterial SSU rRNA". It matches the Rfam family "Bacterial small subunit ribosomal RNA", at positions 505 to 898 of the family's 1533-position model. The record is from RNAcentral.
GUGUCAGCCGCCGCGGUAAUACGGAGGAUGCAAGCGUUAUCCGGAUUCAUUGGGUUUAAAGGGUGCGUAGGCGGAUAUUUAAGUCAGUGGUGAAAUCUUGCGGCUCAACCGUAACAUUGCCAUUGAUACUGAAUGUCUUGAAUGCAGUUGAGGUAGGCGGAAUGUGUAAUGUAGCGGUGAAAUGCUUAGAUAUUACACAGAACACCGAUUGCGAAGGCAGCUUGCUAAACUGUGAUUGACGCUGAUGCACGAAAGCGUGGGGAUCAAACAGGAUUAGAUACCCUGGUAGUCCACGCUGUAAACGAUGAUUACUCGUUGUUUGCGAUAUAUUGCAAGCGACUGAGCGAAAGCAUUAAGUAAUCCACCUGGGGAGUACGUUCGCAAGAAUGAA